UAAACUUAGUAAAAUAAAUACUUACAAAGACAGAGUAUAUUCGUUUUAAGUUUGUGAAUAUUUAUUAGACCAGCAGGUGCAGCAGUAAUGUGGAGAUAUAAGCUAACGUUAUGCUGUUACAAAUUGUGCUAGUUAUAUCAACUGUUAAUGAUAUAAUAGUUUAUUAAUAAACGCCAAGAAUGUGUGUAGUACUGUGUAUUAAACGUCUUUUGUAGCCGAAUCAGUUUUUAAAGCGCAACUGUACACGUGGUAAUGUGCCCCUAUUUAAGCUACGUGCCUCAAAUAUUAAGCAGGUAAUAUGGACCCACAAUAGAUUCAUUUGCUGAUAGGGGAAAACUGUCAAUUUGGAUAGAGUUAUUUGUUUUAAAGGAUUUUGUACAGUAGUAAGAUUCAAAGAUUCUUCUUUCCCGUUCCUUAUGACGUCACAAUCAAUGUCUAUCCCACGUUUAUUCUUAAAGGGCGUGAACCUUUCUUACUGUGAACCGGUGUCAGAGAUGUGUUGUACAAGGGUGGAGGAGGGGACUUUAUUUAGAGGUUCCAGUUCCCAUAAGCAGCUUGGGAAAGAUCUGGGUGCUGAUUUGAAAUGCUUAAUCUGAUCAAGACUUGUUGGUAUAUUUGCUGCCCUCUCAAUAACACCCUCACCCUCUGUUCUAUAAAUCUGCCCACUAGCUCUUGCUUUUUUAUGCAAAGUAUUUAAACCCUAUUGUUUUUGCAUAUUAGCUUUUAAAAUGUAUUGGGCCAUUUGACUUGUCAAGGUGCACCUAUCUUGCAGUGUACACCGGUCAUCACUGAAACACUGUGCGAGAAUGAAACAGACCUCAAGAGUGACAAUAAUCGAAACAGUACAGUAUAAGACAAUGUUGAACAUCGCACCUGCGCCACUAAUGUUUAUUCUUCUAAUUGUAUGCAAGGUUCGGUUUCCUGGUCACUAUAUAUGGGACAUGAUCACUGAAACUGGAAAUCUCGACAGUAAUCUUUUUAAUCUUUAUGAUCUUUGCGCUAAAGAGAAACAGAUCCCACCACCAAGCCUGUAAUCAGAUCCCCUUCUUCAUUUCCUGUCGGUAGCCAGACCGACAACAGCCUGCUCUUAACACUACUGGUCCUUGGAUUGAUUGAUGGUAUAUUUGUCUCGUGGGGUGUUUCUUAUGAGUGAGGGGGAUGGGGCUUGUGGAAAUGAAGACCCCAUAUGUCACUGUAUCGCACAAAGAAAGCUGACCUGAAAACUGCCCUCCACCCCCAUCCCACAUAACAACUGCACGCACAACAGCGCAUCACAAGCCCCAUUUAACAGAACCAUUAGUCAACACGGCUCUAUCAAACCUUAAUAAAAAGCCAAGAUUAAGGUC
Non-coding RNA from Misgurnus anguillicaudatus (oriental weatherfish), 1346 nucleotides. Lineage: Eukaryota; Metazoa; Chordata; Actinopteri; Cypriniformes; Cobitidae. The record is from RefSeq and is a predicted model, not a curated record.